This 1281-nucleotide ribosomal RNA is filed under the name Triticum aestivum (bread wheat). RNAcentral describes it as "partial small subunit ribosomal RNA". The record is from RNAcentral. Lineage: Eukaryota; Viridiplantae; Streptophyta; Magnoliopsida; Poales; Poaceae.
AUGGCUACUUCUAGUGCCGCUUCCGAGGUGGCGAGUUCUCAGUCGCUAAAAAGGAAUUCUGAUGACAUGGCGUGGGAAUUUGCCAUGUUGUGUGAUCCAAAUGAUUUGCAAAGAGUGAAGUGCAAGCUAUGUGGAAAAGAAAUGUCUGGAGGGGUCAAUAGGAUGAAGCAACACAUAGCACAAAUCAGAGGCUCGGUGACAAGUUGUAUGCUUAGUGCAGUUGGUAAAGGUGAUCCCAAAAAUGUUGGGCCUAUGGAUCAAUUUGUGGCACCGGUUGAUCCUAGUGUGCCAUUGAAAAAAUUCCAACGCAACAUCAAUGAUAGUAUCGACAAGGAGAAAGCUACAAAGUGGGGAAAUAUUGGGCUAGAUGGAUGUACAAGAAAAACAUACCCUUCAAUGCUAUCAAUGAUGAUGACUUCAAACAAUUUUGAGGUGGAGAGGACUAGGGAUUUGUUGAAGCCACAUGAGGCUGAGAGGGAGAUCACCGGGUGCUCUGUCAUGACUGAUGCUUGGACAGACAAGAAAAGAAGGAGCAUCAUGAACUUGUGUGUGCAUUGUAAGAUGGGGACAGUUUUUCAUGAAUCAAAGGAGGCAUCGGCUCAUGCACACACAAGUCUCUACAUCUUCAAUUAUGUGGAUGAAUGCAUUGAGAAAAUUGGUACUGAUAAUGUUGUACAAGUAGUCACGGAUAAUGCUUCAAACAACAAGGGAGCAAAAGGGAUGUUGAAAGAAAAAAGGCCGAAGAUAUUUUGGACCUCAUGUGCAACGCACACCCUCAACUUGAUGGUCGAAGCGGUUUUUGAGCCAUUGGUGAAAGUGCUUCGAUUGGCUGAUAGUGAUGGACAGUCGAUGGCCUCUAUGUAUGGAGAAAUAAUAGAGGCAAAGAAGGCAAUAUUGCUUGCGGUUGAAAAUUCAGAGAAGGACUAUAAGAUCAUCACAACAGCCAUGGAGAGCAAGAUGAAUGGGAGGUUAGAUACGCGAGAGUGGUGGGCAACUUAUGGACUACAAACUCCUACGUUGAUGCACAUGGCUUUGAGGAUACUCAACUUGACCACAAGUUCUUCCGGAUGUGAACGGAAUUGGAGUGUUUUUGAACAAGCUAUAGAGCCUCGUAGGAGUGCAAGAGUGAGAGAACUCCAUGAAGUAGAAGAAUUUGUUGCUGAUGAAGAUUCAGAAAAUGAGAUUUCUUUGGAAGAGGAGAUAGAAUUUGAGUCCGAUAAUGAUGAUAUGAUUGCAACAAAUGAGGAUGAGGAUGAGGAUGAGGACACAACACAACCUUAA